UGAACGAUUUAGGCUUGCUGGAGCUUCAGAGGCUGGCAUUUCAAUGGUUUUGAAAAACCAUUGUUCCAAUGGAGAUGCAGUAGAAGGAGAUGAGAAAGAGGAUAAGAAUGGUAAUGCUGAUGAUGGUCGUGAAUCAGAAAAGAGCAAAGAGACUGAUAAAGUAUAAGGGAAGUAACAAGUACUGAUAUUUUUUUUUAUGUGCAUGGCAGCAAUGAAUUAUGUCCAUAUAUUCCAUUAACAAUGAGUAUGAAAUGGUAUAGGGUAAGUGCUUUGUUCUCAGCUAAAAUCUUUUCUUUUGGAUUUGAGAAUUUUGGUCCCAACCAUGAACAACGAGCAUUGGUGUAUUUGAGCCACAUUCCUUUUUAAGGCUUGAUGUUUGCUUCAAGGUUAUGUUUGUCUCUUCACAUACUAAUGAGUUUCUCAUAAACAAUUUCAUAUGCGAAGGAUUUUGGACAUUAGUGCUUCUUCUUAUUGUGGUCUAAUAAUGCAAUUCUACGUACUUUAUCCCAUUAUUU
Molecule: unclassified non-coding RNA, 515 nt
Filed under: Hevea brasiliensis (rubber tree)
Lineage: Eukaryota; Viridiplantae; Streptophyta; Magnoliopsida; Malpighiales; Euphorbiaceae
Source: RNAcentral